Nematostella vectensis (starlet sea anemone) is the source of this 1737-nucleotide long non-coding RNA. RefSeq lists it as uncharacterized. The record is from RefSeq and is a predicted model, not a curated record. The transcript is spliced from 2 exons. Lineage: Eukaryota; Metazoa; Cnidaria; Anthozoa; Actiniaria; Edwardsiidae.
UCGGUUUGUUAUCACAAAUAAUCUCAGUAGGAACCCAAUGUGUACAUGUAUACCUUUCGUACGCUAACGCCGUAACAACUCACGACGCUUUCAACACUAUAGCCCAUGUAUUAGUUACAAAGAGCUUCAAGCGCAAGUUGCGAUUGGUUGUAGAGUUUGCCUUAGCCAUUCUUUCCAUUCAGAAGGCUUACAUGGCAGUUAAGUUGAUGAAUUGAGAUCAUUAUUAUUUCAUCACACAUAACUCAUUGUGGCUAAGGGCUGAAAACAACACGCUUACAAUUCAGUUCACCGCCAACUCAGCCGUCCGCUUAAUACAUCUCCUAGGCCUUUUUGUGAACUCACUUCUUCUCGACCGCGAGGUUCUAAAUAUGUGAGCACAUCCAAACCAAGCCCGUUUCCUGCUAAAAUUUAUGCAGAAUUCGUGGGAUAACAGGUGCUUGUGAAUGAUUUAUUACAGACAAAUCAUUCUAAACAUUUCUCUUUGGGCGCACUAUUAUAGGACACGCAGAGAAAGGGGAUCAAAGGUUGGCCAAAUUCCGCCAAACGUUAACCAAAACUUGAACACAUUGAAGGAAAAAGUGUGAAAGACACUAAACAAAUGGAAGAAACAUUUUUGCGGGUUUUCUUUCUUAAAAAACAUUUUCAAGUUGUUGAACCAAUUUUCAUUCAACAUUUAUACAGGUGUGUUUGUCUGACAAAAACUAGACAACCUACGUUAAUUUUUUAUACUUCUUUGCGAUCACAAAAAACCAUUACUCACAAAUUUUUAAUAGUUUUUUGUUCUGAGCGCAUUGGCAACCAUGAGUUGAGCGGAGAGCAACGGCCAAACCAGACCCUUUUUUCUAGCUGCUGUCGUCCCAAAAGAAAAAUCACCCAAUUUGUGUGACUGCUCACGACAUGGAGCUAAAGAUGACUGGUUAAGGCUUUGAAGGAGUUUGUAACGAAAGGGUCUUGGUGUUUCACUGGGCAAUGGAUGUUAUGUGCUCGCGCGCCCUUUAGGCCACAAUUCACUGGACGAAUCAUGUUUACUGGGAUUGUUUUCGGACGGACGGAAGACACAAGGACCGACCUAGCGUGUUGACCGUUUGAGGCCACGCCCCCUCACGUCACUCUUCGUCCCACCAGUGCAGUAGCGUCGAUUCCGUGAAACCUAGAAGGCUCAGGUCAUGAUAUGAAUCAAACAAACACUUAAUAUGACUACAUAUUUACUUAACGCUCUUUUAGAUGCAUCCGUUCUAUUUAAUGUAACCCUCAUUUAGACUUUCCGCUUAAGUAAUUGUUAUUCUUUUUGGAGACAAAAUUGCUAAGUCUUAAAAUAGCAGUAACCGGUCUUUUCCCAUAUUAUUCAAGUAAAUGCAGCACAUUUCUUCCACAACUCGUAAGACUGUGGCGAAAACCAAAAGGAUGAAAAAUGACGAUUUAUCGGUAUAGUUAAAGAAGGUCAAUCACGCCGCCAUUCUAUGCUCCUACUGAGUGACUCAAAAAAUCCAUUUCCAUAGAUAUUUUUAAUCAAAUAUCUUCAAUAACGUAUCAGAAUUCAUUCGUAGAUUGUUAUUUUAAGGUUUCCGUACAAAUAAACCGGUUGUAUUUUCAACUAUAAACAAUAACAAAGGAGUGGUUGGUCGACAUUUUUUAAGCCUCAGGUAAUUUAAGGGAUUGAUAAAAGGGAUUGAGUUUUUUUAAAGUAGAAAAAUAUAUAAAGAAGCCUAAGUUAAUAAGAAUGCAACGUUUACAGGA